CCUACGGGCGGCAGCAGUGGGGAAUAUUGGACAAUGGGGGGAACCCUGAUCCAGCCAUGCCGCGUGUGUGAAGAAGGCCCUCGGGUUGUAAAGCACUUUCAGUGAGGAAGAACGCCUGGUGGUUAAUACCCAUCAGGAAAGACAUCACUCACAGAAGAAGCACCGGCUAACUCCGUGCCAGCAGCCGCGGUAAUACGGAGGGUGCGAGCGUUAAUCGGAAUUACUGGGCGUAAAGCGCGCGUAGGUGGCUUGAUAAGCCGGUUGUGAAAGCCCCGGGCUCAACCUGGGAACGGCAUCCGGAACUGUCAAGCUAGAGUGCAGGAGAGGAAGGUAGAAUUCCCGGUGUAGCGGUGAAAUGCGUAGAGAUCGGGAGGAAUACCAGUGGCGAAGGCGGCCUUCUGGACUGACACUGACACUGAGGUGCGAAAGCGUGGGUAGCAAACAGGAUUAGAUACCCGUGUAGUU
Molecule: ribosomal RNA, 465 nt
Filed under: Vreelandella stevensii
Lineage: Bacteria; Pseudomonadati; Pseudomonadota; Gammaproteobacteria; Oceanospirillales; Halomonadaceae
Description: partial 16S ribosomal RNA
Rfam family: Bacterial small subunit ribosomal RNA
Source: RNAcentral